CAGAUAAGAAAACUGAGUCUCAGAGAAAUUAUGGCUUGUCCUGGGUGCCUAGAGGAGGUCUCUCAUAGAUGCCCACGUUCUCUUGACAAGAUAUUUGGGGAGGACCCCUGGCUACUGUCACUGCUGCCAUGCCUGCCAGGAGGAGGCACCUUCCUGACACUUCACUGCUGCUGCUCAGCAGGCCUGCCAAGUGGUUCUGCUGUGUUCUAGGAGAAACAGGAAAAAUGCCUCUCCUCCCACUUUGCACUGUGCUUUGUCACCUGGGCCCUAAAACACCAUUGCCUGCCCCUGACGCCCCAACAGCUCCCUCUACCAAACUGAGGCUGGGCUGGGAGACUAGGCACUACACCAUUCCAUUCUCCCUUCUCUUCUUCCAUUCUCCCUUCCCUCCCUCUCUUCUUCCCACUGCCUCCAAGACACCUGUACUGGAACUUUGUCCAUUCUUACACUCACACACACACACAUGCACAUGCAUAUGUGUACACACAAAAGUCUCUUGUCCAUCAGAUCAUACAAAUAUAUGCUUGGGACAGGGGUGAUCACAUGCCCCACAUGCCCAGUGGACAUUUAGGCUCAGAUAGGACAAUUCUUUCACAAGGAUGACAAAACCUACCUUCCGUGGUUGCUGUGAGAACAAGAAAUUGUACAUACAGUGCCCAUUCUACAGCAAACCCAACAAUGAUUUAAAAUCCACAAUAGGCCGUGCGGUGGCUCACGCCUGUAAUCCCAGUACUUUGGGGGGCUGAGGCGGGCGGAUCACGAGAUCAGGAGAUCGAGACCAUCCU
This 785-nucleotide long non-coding RNA is filed under the name Homo sapiens (human). RNAcentral's name for it is "HSALNT0295183". Lineage: Eukaryota; Metazoa; Chordata; Mammalia; Primates; Hominidae. The record is from RNAcentral.